This 340-nucleotide long non-coding RNA is filed under the name Elaeis guineensis (African oil palm). RNAcentral describes it as "long non-coding RNA (EGUI_LNC078229)". The record is from RNAcentral. Lineage: Eukaryota; Viridiplantae; Streptophyta; Magnoliopsida; Arecales; Arecaceae.
GGCAGUUCAGGUUACGGCAGGGCCCUUGGCCGAUCUUCUCUACCCUUAGACCGACGUCGAUUGAACCUAUCGAGUCGACCUCAUCGGAUGAGCUCCUCGAUCUCGUCUCAGAGCUGGAUGCAUUCCUCUAUGUCGUGGCUGUGGUCGUGAUGGUAGAGACAGAACUUGUUGAGGUUGUGCUUCCCGAGGUGUGUGCGCAUCCUCUCUGGCCUAGGGAGCUGCUCCCUGACCUCUAUCAGUACCUGGGUCUUCGAGGCAUUGAGGGGGGCGUAGUUGCAGAAUCUUCUCGGUGGAGAACCCCGUCGAACCUCGCGAUCCGGACUUCUCUGCCUACGUACCC